GUUAGGAAUCUUCCACAAUGGGGGCAACCCUGAUGGAGCAACACCGCGUGCUGGAUGAAGGCCUUCGGGUCGUAAACAGCUUUUGUAUACGAAGAAUAUGACGGUAAUAUACGAAUAAGGGUCGGCUAACUACGUGCCAGCAGCCGCGGUCAUACGUAGGACCCAAGCGUUAUCCGGAGUGACUGGGCGUAAAGAGUUGCGUAGGCGGCUUAUUAAGCGAGUAGUGAAAUCUGGUGGCUCAACCAUCAACACAUUGCUCGAACUGAUAGGCUUGAGAAUGGUAGAGGUAGUUGGAAUUUCUUGUGUAGGAGUGAAAUCCGUAGAUAUAAGAAGGAACACCAAUGGCGUAGGCAGACUACUGGACCAUUUCUGACGCUGAGGCACGAAAGCGUGGGGAGCGAACCGGAUUAGAUACCCUAGUAGUCC
This 426-nucleotide ribosomal RNA is filed under the name uncultured bacterium. RNAcentral's name for it is "partial 16S ribosomal RNA". It matches the Rfam family "Bacterial small subunit ribosomal RNA", at positions 354 to 796 of the family's 1533-position model. The record is from RNAcentral.